Molecule: non-coding RNA, 351 nt
Organism: Desulfuromonadales bacterium C00003093
Lineage: Bacteria; Pseudomonadati; Thermodesulfobacteriota; Desulfuromonadia; Desulfuromonadales
Source: Rfam
GGGGGUGUCAAGGUUUCGACGGGGGACGGAAACGAAGUGCCGCAUGCCGGAGUGGGCUGGCUCCGUAACAAGCCCAACUUAACUAAACGCAGAUACUGACGUUAGUUACGCACUAGCAGCCUAAGGCUGUUACGUCUUGUCACUCAUUGCCUGUGUGGCUGAUGAGACGUUAAUUCAGCAGGCUAGUUUCAGCGAGUGUCUGUGGCGCCGAAGCGAAACUAAAGCAGACUCGCCUGGUGAAUAUCCUGUCUGUGGGAGCUUCAUCCGGUUAAUUUAAAAUACAGACUACGCAUGUAGAAGCCUUACGUGGAAAGCUUUCGGACGCGGGUUCGAUUCCCGCCACCUCCACCA